RNAcentral lists this ribosomal RNA (253 nucleotides) under uncultured bacterium. Its description in RNAcentral is "partial 16S ribosomal RNA". It matches the Rfam family "Bacterial small subunit ribosomal RNA", at positions 524 to 776 of the family's 1533-position model. The record is from RNAcentral.
UACAGAGGUCUCAAGCGUUGUUCGGAUUCAUUGGGCGUAAAGGGUGCGUAGGUGGCGCUGUAAGUCGGGUGUGAAAUUUCGGAGCUUAACUCCGAAACUGCAUUCGAUACUGCGGUGCUUGAGGACUGGAGAGGAGACUGGAAUUCAUGGUGUAGCAGUGAAAUGCGUAGAGAUCAUGAGGAAGACCAGUGGCGAAGGCGGGUCUCUGGACAGUUCCUGACACUGAGGCACGAAGGCCGGGGGAGCAAACAGG